CUGGUCUUAGCUAAGUGGUUACCACAAUAGAAUCAAAAUCUGUUUUCUCUUGGACUGCGCAGGUUCGAAACCUGCGGACAAGU
Molecule: non-coding RNA, 83 nt
Organism: Suillus americanus
Lineage: Eukaryota; Fungi; Basidiomycota; Agaricomycetes; Boletales; Suillaceae
Source: the annotation of a GenBank genome assembly